CAGGGUACCGGGGGCUCAGCAGCGCGGCGCCUCGUCACGGUCGCCCCUACGUUGCGCUGUGCCAGUGGCGAGACCGACCCCUCCGUUC
Molecule: non-coding RNA, 88 nt
Filed under: unclassified sequences
Description: c-di-GMP sequence
Rfam family: c-di-GMP-II-GAG riboswitch aptamer
Source: Rfam by way of RNAcentral